CCCCAAUCCCUGAGACCUUAACUUGUGACGUGACGUGUGAUGCAAUUCGCACAGGUUAAGAUCUCGGGUCAAUGGG
RNAcentral lists this microRNA precursor (76 nucleotides) under Tigriopus californicus. Its description in RNAcentral is "lin-4 microRNA precursor". It matches the Rfam family "lin-4 microRNA precursor family", at positions 1 to 71 of the family's 80-position model. Rfam says of the family: The extents of the hairpin precursors are not generally known and are estimated based on hairpin prediction. The products are thought to have regulatory roles through complementarity to mRNA. The record is from RNAcentral. Lineage: Eukaryota; Metazoa; Arthropoda; Copepoda; Harpacticoida; Harpacticidae.